Molecule: long non-coding RNA, 1856 nt
Organism: Gasterosteus aculeatus aculeatus (three-spined stickleback)
Lineage: Eukaryota; Metazoa; Chordata; Actinopteri; Perciformes; Gasterosteidae
Source: Ensembl
AAUGCAAACAUUUAUAUCAAGCUAGACUUGUUUCACCGCAUGAGGCAGUUCCUCCGUGAGUGUGUGUCGGAGCAUCACGUCCUGUACAGUUCCUUUGCUCAGUUCCUCUGGACUGGGACAAGAACAACAGCAAGACAGAUCACACCCAGGCCCCGAAUCCACCUCCUCAGAGUGAUCCACUCGCUACGCAGUCGGAGGUUCCUCUGUCAUCCUCACUGGCACCAUCAAGGUUGUUCCAGUUUUCUCCAUGCCCCCCUGCCGAUUCUGCUGUGAAACCAGAUGUGAGUCCCAGAACAACCCCAGGGCCUCGGGGAGAGCCAGAAACUUCACGUCCGCCGUCGCUGGCAGUUAUCGACCAGCUGCUCAACAAACACCGUGAGCAGAAAGACAUGCUGAAGCUUGUGGACCAGGACUACGCUGCUCUAGUUCACAACUCCUGCACAAACCCCAACAGCAUGCUCCACCCGACAGCAAAACUACAUAUCGUACAAUAUGUAAAGCACCUCAGCAAAUUGUUGAACACCAGUUCCUCUUUAAACGUCAGUCCAGAAAAACUGCAAGAGAGGCUGAAACUCUGGUCGCAAGUGUCGGUUCUGUAAGACGGAACUGAAGCAGGGCCCAAACAGUCGUCACAUUCACACUGGGUUCCCUGGAGUUACAGGGAAGUACAUUUUCUGCCCCACUAAAAUCUUUUCACUAUGCAAAGACCAGGGCAUGGACAAGGAAAUGACAUGGAGAGAGUUCCAGGGGUCUGCUUUCUUUGACAAAUUAAAAUAGAGAUGGGAGGCUGAAAUGAGGAAAGAAGAGAAAUAAUAGGGGGAGUUCCAUCUAGCAUUUUACGUCCAAUUAUUUGUAAUAUUCAUGUUGUAAUUAGUUUAUAUAUUGGUUUCUUGCUUUUGUGACUUUGUACAUUAAAAUAUUAUCUUUUUAUUUAUUCUUUAUAUUUGGUUUUAUGGUUCAUUAGUUUACUUAUUUAGAUGUCUUUAUUUCUGUAACAUUUCUGUUUGUAUAGGACUAUACAAAUCUGUUGAUCUAUCUGUGUUCAACAUUUACUGUCCAAGUUAAUAAAUAUAUUUCAAUUGCUAAUGUUUACAUGUGUCAUCAAUGAGUGAAUCACUGUAGUGAACAGUAAAAUAAGUUGGUCUGUAAGUACAAUCUAGUGAUAACCCGUAGACAGCAGAUUGGGGUAAACAUUUCCUUUAUUUGUUAUUUGAGAUGGAUGAGGUAGGAUGGAGUAGGAGGUGAAGGAAGGUGUACUCACUGGUGUCCAGUCUCAGGCACGUUGAUGUUGACGUCCUGGAUGGUCUCCUUUUUCCUCUCUUCUCUCUCCUAUUUCUUUGUCUCCUUGUCCUGCAUCUUGCGCCUCAUUUUGUCCAUCUCCGUCUGCCGGUCUUGCAUCCGUCUCCCAAAAAUUUCUUUUUUUAAGUCGAGGCAGAUGUUUUCAAGGACUGUUUUGUCAUCCUCUAAUUCUUGGAUCCUCGUGAUAAGGAUCCGAUGUUCUUUGGGGAUGGUAUUCUCCGUUUGUUGGAUCUUAGAGAUCAGGCACAAGUCAGUGAAACCACUGCUCGUGACCGUCUCGUGGUGGGUCUCCUCUUGGCUCUUUUUUAAAGCAGCCAGAGAAUCCCUCUGGGUCUUCAGCAGUUUGUGUUCUGCUUCCAACUGCUGCCAGGUCUCGUUGUUGACCCUGAGUUCAGCACUUUUGACAGAAAGUUUUUUUGUUGUCUCUGUGAGCUUCAGAGAUAAACCCUCGUUCUGCCUGAUAGUCUCAUCCAGAGCCUCUGUCUUGAUCUUUAGCAGUUUGUGUUCUUCUUCCAACUGGUGGUUGUUGGACUGCUGCUUGUGCAGCUCCUCUUGAA